CGAAAGCCUGACGGAGCAACGCCGCGUGAGGGAUGAAGGCCUCUGGGCUGUAAACCUCUUUUCUCAAGGAAGAAGACCUGACGGUACUUGAGGAAUAAGCCACGGCUAAUUCCGUGCCAGCAGCCGCGGUAAUACGGGAGUGGCAAGCGUUAUCCGGAAUUAUUGGGCGUAAAGCGUCCGCAGGCGGCCUCGUAAGUCUGUCGUUAAAGCGUGGAGCUUAACUCCAUUUCAGCGAUGGAAACUGCGAGGCUUGAGUGUGGUAGGGGCAGAGGGAAUUCCCGGUGUAGCGGUGAAAUGCGUAGAUAUCGGGAAGAACACCAGUGGCGAAGGCGCUCUGCUGGGCCAUAACUGACGCUCAUGGACGAAAGCCAGGGGAGCG
RNAcentral lists this ribosomal RNA (379 nucleotides) under uncultured cyanobacterium. Its description in RNAcentral is "bacterial SSU rRNA". It matches the Rfam family "Bacterial small subunit ribosomal RNA", at positions 376 to 770 of the family's 1533-position model. The record is from RNAcentral. Lineage: Bacteria; Bacillati; Cyanobacteriota.